GUUCCAGACUCCUACGGGAGGCAGCAGUGAGGAAUAUUGGUCAAUGGGCGGAAGCCUGAACCAGCCAAGUCGCGUGAGGGAAUAAGGCCCUACGGGUCGUAAACCUCUUUUGCCGGGGAGCAAGGGCCGGGACGCGUCCCGGCCCGGAGAGUACCCGGAGAAAAAGCAUCGGCUAACUCCGUGCCAGCAGCCGCGGUAAUACGGAGGAUGCGAGCGUUAUCCGGAUUUAUUGGGUUUAAAGGGUGCGUAGGCGGACGCUUAAGUCAGCGGUAAAAUUGCGGGGCUCAACCUCGUCGAGCCGUUGAAACUGGGUGCCUUGAGUGGGCGAGAAGUAUGCGGAAUGCGUGGUGUAGCGGUGAAAUGCAUAGAUAUCACGCAGAACUCCGAUUGCGAAGGCAGCAUACCGGCGCCCAACUGACGCUGAAGCACGAAAGCGUGGGUAUCGAACAGGAUUAGAUACCCCCGUAA
RNAcentral lists this ribosomal RNA (468 nucleotides) under uncultured bacterium. RNAcentral's name for it is "bacterial SSU rRNA". It matches the Rfam family "Bacterial small subunit ribosomal RNA", at positions 328 to 793 of the family's 1533-position model. The record is from RNAcentral.